This 357-nucleotide ribosomal RNA is filed under the name Clistoabdominalis beneficiens. RNAcentral describes it as "partial 12S ribosomal RNA". Lineage: Eukaryota; Metazoa; Arthropoda; Insecta; Diptera; Pipunculidae. The record is from RNAcentral.
UGAAAAUUUAAUUUAUAAUAUUUAAGUAGUAUUAGUUAAGAUCUUGAAAUUUAAAAAAUUUGGCGGUAUUUUAGUCUAUUCAGAGGAACCUGUUUUGUAAUCGAUAGUCCACGAUGGAUCUUACUUAAAUUUGUUUUUAUAGCUUAUAUAUCGUCGUUAAUGAAUAUUUUAUAAGAAUAUUAAUUUUCUUAAUUUUUUAUGUUAAAUAAUAUCAGAUCAAGAUGUAGUUUAUAUUUAAGUUUAUAAUGGGUUACAUUUAUUUUAUUAUAUUGGAUUAAAAUUUUUAAUAGUUUUAUGAAAUUGGAUUUGAUAGUAAAUUUAUAUAGAUUGAUAAAUUGAUAAUAGCUCUAAAAUAUG